Molecule: microRNA precursor, 109 nt
Filed under: Marmota monax (woodchuck)
Lineage: Eukaryota; Metazoa; Chordata; Mammalia; Rodentia; Sciuridae
Source: RNAcentral
ACCUGAAUCUCCUGGUGAUCUUAUUAAAAUACUGAAGAUUCAGAUUCAGUAAAUCUAUGAUUGGGACAUGAGAUUCUGGAUUUCUGAUAAACUUCCAAGAGAUGACAAA